Molecule: ribosomal RNA, 252 nt
Filed under: uncultured bacterium
Lineage: Bacteria
Description: partial 16S ribosomal RNA
Rfam family: Bacterial small subunit ribosomal RNA
Source: RNAcentral
UACAGGGGGGCAAGCGUUGUUCGGAAUUACUGGGCGUAAAGGGCUCGUAGGCGGCCAACUAAGUCACACGUGAAAUCCCCAGGCUUAACCUGGGAACUGCGUGUGAUACUGGAUGGCUUGAAUUCGGGAGAGGGAUGCAGAAUUCCAGGUGUAGCGGUGAAAUGCGUAGAUAUCGGGAGGAACACCUGUGGCGAAGGCGACCCCCUGGUUGGAUACUGACGCUGAGACGCGAAAGCGUGGGGAGCAAACAGG